GCCUCUGAUGAAACCUAUGUUGGUAGUGACAUCUGACAGUGUUAAUGAGAAUGCCAACUGCUCUGAUGAA
Molecule: small nucleolar RNA, 70 nt
Organism: Microcebus murinus (gray mouse lemur)
Lineage: Eukaryota; Metazoa; Chordata; Mammalia; Primates; Cheirogaleidae
Source: Ensembl